This 491-nucleotide ribosomal RNA is filed under the name uncultured bacterium. RNAcentral's name for it is "partial 16S ribosomal RNA". It matches the Rfam family "Bacterial small subunit ribosomal RNA", at positions 29 to 506 of the family's 1533-position model. The record is from RNAcentral.
AGUGAACGCUGGCGGUAGGCCUAACACAUGCAAGUCGAACGGCAGCACAGUAAGAGCUUGCUCUUACCGGUGGCGAGUGGCGGACGGGUGAGGAAUACAUCGGAAUCUACUUUUUCGUGGGGGAUAACGUAGGGAAACUUACGCUAAUACCGCAUACGACCUACGGGUGAAAGCAGGGGAUCUUCGGACCUUGCGCGAUUGAAUGAGCCGAUGUCGGAUUAGCUAGUUGGCGGGGUAAAGGCCCACCAAGGCGACGAUCCGUAGCUGGUCUGAGAGGAUGAUCAGCCACACUGGAACUGAGACACGGUCCAGACUCCUACGGGAGGCAGCAGUGGGGAAUAUUGGACAAUGGGCGCAAGCCUGAUCCAGCCAUACCGCGUGGGUGAAGAAGGCCUUCGGGUUGUAAAGCCCUUUUGUUGGGAAAGAAAAGCAGCAGGUUAAUACCCCGCUGUUCUGACGGUACCCAAAGAAUAAGCACCGGCUAACUUCGU